CAUGACAAUGGCUCAUAAUCUCGUCAGAUUCACCAUCUCAACUCUGUGGCUACAAGUUCACUGCCAGUAUGUGACUCAACACCCUGCGAUCAGCUGGAGUUAUGUGUCCACAUCUGCGGAGAUGAACUGCAGCCACAACAGAGAUGCCGGUCAUAACCAGAUGGACUGGUACAAGCAGCGUCCAGGGGAGAGCAUGACCAUUGUUGUCUAUACAACUUCUGGAGGGAAGCCAGUCAAUCAAACCAAAUAUUCAGCCAUCAAAGACAACAUCGAGAGCGGGGCUCUUACUGUGAAAAACCUGCAGCCCGAGGACAGUGCCGUGUAUUUCUGUGCUGUGUUUAACUUGUGGUGGUAUUAUCAGUCUCCGCCUGAUUUCUUCAAGACGACCGUUACGAGGCUCAUCGGAUAUAAAGACUUCAAAACUGUCAUCAUGCAAAAGCCAUAUGAUGAGGACUUUACAAUCACUAGAGACUUCAGCCGCUAUACAGGGACAAAUAGCUCUCUCAUACGCAAAUAUGUGUUUGACUGGGUUUAG
Solea solea (common sole) is the source of this 535-nucleotide non-coding RNA. Lineage: Eukaryota; Metazoa; Chordata; Actinopteri; Pleuronectiformes; Soleidae. The record is from the annotation of a RefSeq genome assembly.